UUUUUAAGCGUUUUGUUGCGCAAUUAAAUUUUGCGUAAUCAUUUUGUUGUUGUGUAGGGGAGGUAACACGAAAUAUAACAAGAAUUAAGAAAGAGAAAUGGUGCGUCCAAGUGGACUCGAACCACCGACCCCCACCA
This is a non-coding RNA of Proteus mirabilis, 137 nucleotides long. Lineage: Bacteria; Pseudomonadati; Pseudomonadota; Gammaproteobacteria; Enterobacterales; Morganellaceae. The record is from Rfam.